This 1207-nucleotide ribosomal RNA is filed under the name metagenome. Its description in RNAcentral is "bacterial SSU rRNA". It matches the Rfam family "Bacterial small subunit ribosomal RNA", at positions 8 to 1237 of the family's 1533-position model. The record is from RNAcentral.
AGAGUUUGAUCCUGGCUCAGGACGAACGCUGGCGGCGCGCCUAACACAUGCAAGUCGAACGAGAGAGAGGGAGCUUGCUUCCUCAAUCGAGUGGCGAACGGGUGAGUAACGCGUGAGGAACCUGCCUCAAAGAGGGGGACAACAGUUGGAAACGACUGCUAAUACCGCAUAAGCCCACAGCUCGGCAUCGAGCAGAGGGAAAAGGAGCAAUCCGCUUUGAGAUGGCCUCGCGUCCGAUUAGCUAGUUGGUGAGGUAAUGGCCCACCAAGGCGACGAUCGGUAGCCGGACUGAGAGGUUGAACGGCCACAUUGGGACUGAGACACGGCCCAGACUCCUACGGGAGGCAGCAGUGGGGAAUAUUGCACAAUGGGGGAAACCCUGAUGCAGCGACGCCGCGUGGAGGAAGAAGGUCUUCGGAUUGUAAACUCCUGUUGUUGAGGAAGAUAAUGACGGUGCUCAACAAGGAAGUGACGGCUAACUACGUGCCAGCAGCCGCGGUAAAACGUAGGUCACAAGCGUUGUCCGGAAUUACUGGGUGUAAAGGGAGCGCAGGCGGGAAGACAAGUUGGAAGUGAAAUCUAUGGGCUCAACCCAUAAACUGCUUUCAAAACUGUUUUUCUUGAGUAGUGCAGAGGUAGGCGGAAUUCCCGGUGUAGCGGUGGAAUGCGUAGAUAUCGGGAGGAACACCAGUGGCGAAGGCGGCCUACUGGGCACCAACUGACGCUGAGGCUCGAAAGUGUGGGUAGCAAACAGGAUUAGAUACCCUGGUAGUCCACACCGUAAACGAUGAUUACUAGGUGUUGGAGGAUUGACCCCUUCAGUGCCGCAGUUAACACAAUAAGUAAUCCACCUGGGGAGUACGACCGCAAGGUUGAAACUCAAAGGAAUUGACGGGGGCCCGCACAAGCAGUGGAGUAUGUGGUUUAAUUCGACGCAACGCGAAGAACCUUACCAAGUCUUGACAUCCUGCGACGAUGCUGGAAACAGUAUUUUCCUUCGGGACGCAGAGACAGGUGGUGCAUGGUUGUCGUCAGCUCGUGUCGUGAGAUGUUGGGUUAAGUCCCGCAACGAGCGCAACCCUUACUGUCAGUUACUACGCAAGAGGACUCUGGCAGGACUGCCGUUGACAAAACGGAGGAAGGUGGGGACGACGUCAAAUCAUCAUGCCCUUUAUGACUUGGGCUACACACGUACUACAAUGGCGUU